AUUCAAGGGGUACAUGUGCAGGUUUGCUACAUGGGCAUAUUGUGUGAUGGUUUAGAGUACAAUGGAUCCCGUCACCCAAAUAACCGAGUCCUGCAAACGUAGAAGGUCUCAAGAAAACCACUUCAUCAAUACUCACACAGGAGCAGAUCCUAUCGUCUACAGCCACAGCUUCCCAGCAUUGGUGGAAAAGGUCAGCUUGCAAUCAGUCAGCCCGUGCAUACUGGAAAAUUGGAAUAAAAAACAACUAAGAUUCAGGAGAGGGUCAUGGAGGAAAGAAAAUGAGCACCAUGGAACAGUUGCCUGAGAAGACAGGCUCAGGUUAGUGUCUCUGCAGGGAGCACUAAUUGGGUAGGCAGAAAUCAGAAUAGGUGUG
This is a long non-coding RNA of Homo sapiens (human), 373 nucleotides long. RefSeq lists it as uncharacterized. NCBI's taxonomy places the organism in Eukaryota, Metazoa, Chordata, Mammalia, Primates, Hominidae. The record is from RefSeq and is a predicted model, not a curated record. The transcript is spliced from 3 exons.